Non-coding RNA from Pelobates cultripes (western spadefoot toad), 273 nucleotides. The record is from the annotation of a GenBank genome assembly. Lineage: Eukaryota; Metazoa; Chordata; Amphibia; Anura; Pelobatidae.
CUUCACUAGGGGGCGACAGGGAGCGGAUGGAACUAGGAAGGUGCUGGAUCUAAUGCACAGCCUCCGGGGAGGGGGUGGCAGCAUAUUCCUGUCUUUGGACGCAGAAAAAGCGUUUGAUAGGCUCAACUGGCCUUUCCUCCUCGGGGUGCUACACAAAUUCUGCUUCCCAACACAAUUCUUAAACGCAGUAAAAACACUCUACAGUAACCCCGCUGCGAAAGUCAAUACAGGUGGGUUUCUUUCUCAAUCAUUCAACAUAACCAAUGGGUCGAG